UUGUUGAUACGCUUCAUAGCUUCACACUUGGCUUUGUACUUCAUCUGUGCAAAAAAUAAGAAUAAGAUGUGAACUAACAAUGCAGGUAUUUAAAUAACAGCAUUUACAAAAAAAUGUGAACUAACACUGCAGGUAUUUAAAUAACAAAAUUUACAAAAAAAUGAUGUGAACUAACAAUGCAGGUAUUUAAAUAACAAUAUUUACAAAAAAAUGUGAACUAACACUGCAGGUAUUUAAAUAACAAAAUUUACAAAAAAAUGAAUAGUGGCUCAGGUACACAUUAUUUAACUAUUUAAAGAUGAAUAGUUCCACGUUUCAAAUUAAUUGUAGGGCAAGUCAUCAGGAUAUUAGCG
RNAcentral lists this long non-coding RNA (353 nucleotides) under Hordeum vulgare. RNAcentral's name for it is "long non-coding RNA (HVUL_LNC010046)". Lineage: Eukaryota; Viridiplantae; Streptophyta; Magnoliopsida; Poales; Poaceae. The record is from RNAcentral.